RNAcentral lists this ribosomal RNA (253 nucleotides) under uncultured bacterium. RNAcentral's name for it is "partial 16S ribosomal RNA". It matches the Rfam family "Bacterial small subunit ribosomal RNA", at positions 524 to 776 of the family's 1533-position model. The record is from RNAcentral.
UACGAAGGGGGCUAGCGUUGCUCGGAAUCACUGGGCGUAAAGCGCACGUAGGCGGAUUGCUAAGUCAGCGGUGAAAUCCUGGAGCUCAACUCCAGAACUGCCUUUGAUACUGGCGAUCUCGAGUUCGGGAGAGGUGAGUGGAACUGCGAGUGUAGAGGUGAAAUUCGUAGAUAUUCGCAAGAACACCAGUGGCGAAGGCGGCUCGCUGGCCCGAUACUGACGCUGAGGUGCGAAAGCGUGGGGAGCAAACAGG